AUGCUUUAGCAGCACAUAUGCUAAAAUGGGAAUGAUACAGAGAAGAUUAGCAUGGCCUCUGGGCAAGGAUGACUUGCAAAUUCAUGAAGCAUUUCAUACUUUU
Molecule: small nuclear RNA, 103 nt
Organism: Dama dama (fallow deer)
Lineage: Eukaryota; Metazoa; Chordata; Mammalia; Artiodactyla; Cervidae
Source: RefSeq, a predicted model, not a curated record